Molecule: long non-coding RNA, 4806 nt
Filed under: Setaria italica (foxtail millet)
Lineage: Eukaryota; Viridiplantae; Streptophyta; Magnoliopsida; Poales; Poaceae
Description: long non-coding RNA (SITA_LNC001677)
Source: RNAcentral
CUCCUCUUUCUCAAUACGACGAAAACGUUCCUGCUCGAGAGGAUCUUGGUUGCACUUGAUCGCGGACCAAAUAGUGGUAGCAAUCGACAUUGCAACGCAGAUGCUCAGUGCAUAGGCUCUCACUUGCCUUGACAUGUGCUUGGUUCCAGCCGCAGAAGCAAUGCCAAAAACUACUCCCAUGGUAAGGGAAUAACCGAAAAACCAUACGAACCAAUACUGCAAAAACCCAGAGUGAAUAAUAUAAGUAUGAAAAGCUCUAGUUGAGACACUUAUUUUAAUAUGGAAAAUCUUGACAAUAGAAUACAAAUAAGAGUACGUACCCAGGGACGAAAGAAUGGGGACAGUAUUCCAUCACAUGCAACUCUCGCUGCAUUGUACUCUUUUUCGUCCUCGUAGUAGGCCGCCGUGAGCCUGUGGUACCAGAGUUUCCCAACACGUCCCUCUCGGAGUGCAAACAGAGGUAAGGUCGAUAGGAUAUCGGUGCUGGCGUCUCUCUUAGCGACAAUGACUUUUGGGCAGCGGGUUCUACAGAUGCAGCAACGUUUGUUACGAUGGAAGAAACGGAUGCGCACCAUGCACUUGCGACAGACAACACGGUGGCCACACCGCCCGAUAGCCACCCACUCUGAAGGGUGAGUGCAUACAACACAAUAGUUCUUGGGGUCGGCAUCAUCUUGAGGUGCUAUAUCAAUGACAUGAUCUUGACAUCCGGUAUCACCGUUGGUGUUUACACCGUCAUCUCCACUAUUAUGACAUGCGGUGCUUUCGCGUGUCAUACCAGACUCGACAUCCUUCACAUCUUCGUGGCUCUUUGUAUUACCAUUGACAUUAAGGGCUUGUUCGGUUCGAAAAGUAUUGAAAGGGGUUGAACGGGAUUGUGAAGAAUUAAAUACCUUCCAAAUCACUCCCAUUACCUCCCAAUCCACCUCAAUCCCCUUAGAAAGAGGAUCAAGAUCUGCUACCACCCUGACAUUUUCAACCUGCGAGGGCGGUGGUGGUAGGACCUCACGCUCCACCAGAUCCCUGCCAUCCAAGAUGUUGUCUGGCACGCCACCGUGCUUCACCAGCUUACCGGUGAACAAGAAGCUCUCAUUUGAGUUCAGAAGGAGGUUAUCCAGAGUGCUUGGCUGAUAAAGAAGACAGAUACUAUCAAAAUCAAAUUGAAGUUUACAUGCAAAAAUGUACGUAAGACGGUAAAAGCAAACUAGGAAUUUACCGUGAUGGCUGUGUGAAUGCUGUCCAUAAAACUGCUGUCAGAUGAUAUGGCCGAGCUUGCCUUCCAAAUAGAUUUGUUUAGCUGCUGUGCUUGCUUCUCUGACCUGGAAGCAGCAGACAUAGUCAGUUUUUUUACCCCCUUUCGAGACAACCAAAGAUAUGGGAUCACAGAAUGCAUUACUAUGAAACAGCAUACGCUACCUUGAAGCAAUGUUCGAUUCAAGAGCAGCUAGAAGGGCUUUGACGACGAGAGAUUUGAAUUAUAAAAGAAAAAGAAAAGCCUACAUGUUUCAUAUAUAUUUUAAUAAAGAAAACAAUGUAAAGAUAUUUUAGAGAAACAUCCUUAGCAAGUUAUAUUUAUAUAUGAAAAGACGAUGUAGAACUUAGUCAAAUUUUAUUUAUAAACAUUCACAUAUAAUUUAUGCAAAUGAAAUAUUUAAUUUAAAAAUAAAGUAUAUAUAAAUAUCUAAACGCAUAGCUUUAUGAUUCGGGUUGAACUAACCAAAUAUUAUUAAAAAAACACAUUUAUAUUAAUAUUAGUCAAAUUAACAUUUAAUUAUGAAAAUCCGAGAUAUAAUCUAUGCAGCUCUUAUUUAUAAAACAAAUUAAAUACACAUUAAUCAAGUUGAGUUUAAUUGAUGAAAAGCCAAGGUAUAUCUCUAAUUAGCUUUUAGUUGGAAGAGUUGUUUAAAUAAACAUUAACCAAAUUACAUUAGUUAUGAAAAUACAAGGUUGAACUCUAAUUAGGUUUUAGUUAGAAAAGCAAGUAUAUAAGUACUUAAUCAUAUUAAUAUUUUGAAUAAAUUAAAAAAUAGAGAAUGUGAUCAACAUUGCUCCUAAUACGUAAUUUAAGUUAAUAUGAAUCUAACACAAUAAGAACGAGGUUAAACAGAGCUAAAACGCAAAAGAUAUGGCUUAACGAAGCUCUAGGGACUUGCUGGCAAGGUUUAGAAACUUCUAGGGGCUUAACUGCAAGAAACCGAGGGCCAACACCUAAUUAAGUGUAUAUAAACUGAAGGGGUAACAUAUGAAAGAGCUAAGCAGGAAAUUCGUGCACGAAAACUGUAAAGGUUAGGGGCUUAAACAGAAGAAACAGGACCUAAAUCUAAUGAUCCUUGAACUAGGAAACUGCGGGCGCAAAAACUGGAAAGCUAGGGGUUUCUUUUGCAAAACAGCCGAGGCUGAUUCGGGAUUGAUCCGAGUUGACCAGUACUGACUCUGGUGGGAAUCAAUCCGGACCGUCGGGAUGAGAUCGGGCGGUAGCGGCGGGUUCCAGUGUGAACGUCGGCGCGGGCGGCGGAGGCUAGCGGCGCUACAGGAGCAGUUCGCCGGGAUCGACUCGAUCUCGAGCAUCCGGCCAGGAUUCUCGACGGGAUCAAGCCCUGGAGACAUCUUAUGGAACGGAGAACUCAUCUAGGGUGUCCUUGUGGUGGUUUAGGUGGCGACGGCGGCAGGCGGCUCGGCGCGGCGGCGGUAAACACCGGCGAGCCUGGGCUAGCGGAAAACGGCACGAGAGCGAACGGGACUUGAACGGGCGGCUUCCAUACCUCCUUGCAAACCUCCAGGUGGUUAUCUCGUCAACGGAAGGGCGGCGACGGAGGAGAUCGACGGCGGCGGGUGUGCGCUUGCGCUCGGACUCGGGCUGCGGCGGCGCUGGAGCGCAGGGGCGCGGGGUUUAGGGUCUGGUGGGGCUUCGGGGGGGUGCGGCGGCUUGCUUUAUGAAGGCCCGGGGGGGCGGCCUUGGCGUGCGGGCCAAGACGCGGGGCGGCGCGGUCCGGCUCGGGAGCGGCGGGAGGAGGGGGGCCCCGCCUGUCAUCGGGACGAAGCGGAGGAGUGGCGCGGGAGCGGGCUGGCGCUGGAAGCUGGGCUGCUGCUGGGCCGGUAUGGAGGAUGGGGUGCUGGGCCGUCCUGCUGGCUGACUGCUGCGGAGCCGGGCCAAAAGAAGAAAGCGGGCCGAAAAAGAGGGAAGAAAGGGAGGGAAAAGGAAAAGGUUUUUCCUAUUGUUUAAGAAAAAUUCAAACAUGAAUUCAAAUGCAACUUUGAAUUCAAACAACCAAAAUCAAUGCACCAGCAUGAAUGCAGUACACACAGAGCAACCUUAUUUAAUUUUAAAAAAACAACCAAUUAUUUUUUCCUAUACUAAAUUUCCUGUCAAGAAAAUAAAUGUUGGCAAAAAAUUAAAAUUAUGAGAAAAUCAUUGUUUAUUUAUUCUUUUUAAUCACAUCCUGAAAUCCAACAAUUUCGGGGUGUGAAAAAAGUGUUCUAUGUGGAUGACUUGCUCCUCGCAGCUGUUAAGAGUACAUGAUGCCGAAAUGACAAGGAGAGAAAAGAAACAGUUCACGGUGAAUCAGAUACAGUCAUACAAAGAUAAAGAGGAUGCAGAGUAAGUUGUCAGUUAUUUCAGGCCAUUUUGUUAUUGAAAUCUUAUAGGUAGAUACCCCACGACGAAUCAGAAAACUUUUCUGAAAACAACGGCAAACAAUCAUAAUGGAACACAUAUGUCCCCAAUUAUUAACUUGUUGCUAAAUCAUGCACCAAGAACUACUGAACUGAAGGAUGCAGAGCAUAUAUAAUCAGGGAGUGGAGUGCUAUUCCCGAAUAAGUUUCAGAAUACCUGAGAAAAAAGACGCACAGCAACCUUCCCAUUGUUUGACUGAACUGAAUGUAGUUCGAGGAGCACGGGAGCCGAAUGAAUUAGGACCAAACUCACUACAGCUUGAUGCAAGCAUGUAAAUACGGAUAAUUUAAUCAUGUCCCCACCAUUUGCAUAAUUGCAUGUGCUGUCGUGCUGAGCAUGUGUGACGAGCAUUUCAGGGUCGUAUUUCAACUCAUGCAAGCAUAUCAAGAGUGCUAGCCUAAAAAUUAGAACACAUGCAACAGAGGUGUAGUUCAGUACGGAGUUAUACACCAAAGAUUGGGAUAAUCCUAUGUUAAAAUUUGGCCUGUUCGCUUCAGCUUAUUCAGCUGGCUUAUCAGCCACCAAACAGUAUUUUCCUCUCACAACAAAUCAGCCGUUUCAGCUUUUCAGCCGGCUUAUAAGCUGAAGCGAACAGGCCUAAUUCAGGGAUUGAAAUGUUUACUGCCCAGUUCAUUUCAAACUGCAAACCAUGCAUAGUCUGAAACUGAGUUAUACUGAAAGGUAAGAGCAACAUAGUAGUAGGCUUAUGCAUUAUAAAAUUUAGCUUCACCGAAUCUUUCGCAUGCACAAACCAUUAUAUUAUGUAGUGCAUUAUUGUAGACUAAAAGUUUAGGAUAUUUGUAUGAAUGCAUCUCUUUUUUAACAGAUUGAUAUUUGUGGUAUAAGGUACAAACUCAGAUGAACAAAUGAACUAAAAGAUUACUAAAGCAAGCUAGUGUACUAAGAACAAAUUGCGCUCCUAUUUCUCAAUACGACAAAAAUAUUCCUGCUCGAGAAGAUCUUGGUUGCACUUGAUCGCGGACCAAAUAGUGGUAGCAAUCGAUAUUGCAACACGGAUGCUCAGUGCAUAGGCUCUCACUUGCGUUGACAUGUGCUUGGUUCCAGCUGCAGAAGCAAUGCCAAAAACUACUCCCAUGGUAAGGGAAUAACCGAAAAACCAUACGAACCAAUAC